UACGGGGGGGGCAAGCGUUGUUCGGAAUUACUGGGCGUAAAGGGCGCGUAGGCGGUUCGCUAAGUUGAAUGUGAAAACUCUGGGCUUAACCCAGAGCCUGCAUUCAAUACUGGCGGGCUAGAGUUCUGGAGGGGAUAGCGGAAUUCCUGGUGUAGCGGUGAAAUGCGUAGAUAUCAGGAAGAACACCAAUGGCGAAGGCAGCUCUCUGGGACGGUACUGACGCUGAGACGCGAAAGCGUGGGGAGCGAACAGG
RNAcentral lists this ribosomal RNA (253 nucleotides) under uncultured bacterium. RNAcentral describes it as "partial 16S ribosomal RNA". It matches the Rfam family "Bacterial small subunit ribosomal RNA", at positions 524 to 776 of the family's 1533-position model. The record is from RNAcentral.